UGCCAACCUGAAAUCUGAAGUAGAAAGUUUCAGCAUCCUUUUUUUUUCCAGGUGUGUUGCCUUUAAUAUACCGGAAAACUUUGUGGCAAGGAACUCUGAGCUUUAACUAAACCUGUUACCAGAAAGAUUCAACCAUCACACUGCUAAUUAAUCAGGAAAGCUUUGUACUUGAGCCAGCCUGCCAUUUGCUAGAGCUUCAACACAUCAGUGGCUGGAGCCAUGGUUUGUAGGUCUCUGGCUUUUACCAGUCCUUUGAAGUUCAGUGGUCUGAUGGCCACCAUGAUGAGCUGGCUGGUGUGUAUCCAUCAUCAUUGGAAGUCUAUCAACACCCUCAUGUCUCAUCAUCGAGGACUGAGUUAAUGAAGCAAUUCUGCCGACCAGGCUGCCUUCAUUUUCUUCUUUGCUAAAUUGGGUUCCUCCCAGCCCAGAAAAAUUGGAAAGGUCCCCUCCUUCAGGAAUCCCUUACUAUGUCAAUCCUUUUGACCAAAAAUGUUAAUACUUUUAUAUUAUUUGAACUUCACCUAUCAGUUCAUUCUGUUCUCUUUUUAAUUAAACAUUUUUUA
This 563-nucleotide long non-coding RNA is filed under the name Rattus norvegicus (Norway rat). Its description in RNAcentral is "long non-coding RNA NONRATT032310". The record is from RNAcentral. Lineage: Eukaryota; Metazoa; Chordata; Mammalia; Rodentia; Muridae.